GUCUUUAUAGGCUAAUAAAACCAUUAGUCUUGUAAACUAAAAUUGAAAUUCUAAAGACU
Molecule: transfer RNA, 59 nt
Filed under: Crangonyx forbesi
Lineage: Eukaryota; Metazoa; Arthropoda; Malacostraca; Amphipoda; Crangonyctidae
Description: tRNA-Thr
Source: RNAcentral